This 204-nucleotide unclassified non-coding RNA is filed under the name soil metagenome. RNAcentral's name for it is "partial contains 5.8S ribosomal RNA, internal transcribed spacer 2, and large subunit ribosomal RNA". The record is from RNAcentral.
AACAAGGCGUACCUGCGGACCUGCGGAGGGAUCAUUACCGAGUUUACAACUCCCAAACCCCUGUGAACAUACCUAUAUGUUGCCUCGGCGGAUCAGCCCGCGCCCCGUAAAACGGGACGGCCCGCCGCAGGAUCCACAAACUCUGUUUUUAUUGUAACUUCUGAGUAACAAAACAAAUAAAUCAAAACUUUUAACAACGGAUCU